GUUCGGAAACGGACGCUAAUACCGCAUACGUCCUACGGGAGAAAGCGAGGGGACCUUCGGGCCUUGCGCUAUCAGAUGAGCCUAGGUCGGAUUAGCUAGUUGGGUGGGGGUAAAUGGGCUCACCAAGGCGACGAUCCGUAACUGGUCUGAGAGGAUGAUCAGUCACACUGGAACUGAGACACGGUCCAGACUCCUACGGGAGGCAGCAGUGGGGAAUAUUGGGACAAUGGGCGAAAGCCUGAUCCCAGCCAUGCCGCGUGUGUGAAGAAGGUCUUCGGAUUGUAAAGCACUUUAAGUUGGGAGGAAGGGGUUGUAGAUUAAUACUCUGCAAUUUUGACGUUACCGACAGAAUAAGCACCGGGCUAACUCUGUGCCCAGCAGCCGCGGGUAAAUA
Molecule: ribosomal RNA, 394 nt
Filed under: uncultured Pseudomonas sp.
Lineage: Bacteria; Pseudomonadati; Pseudomonadota; Gammaproteobacteria; Pseudomonadales; Pseudomonadaceae
Description: bacterial SSU rRNA
Rfam family: Bacterial small subunit ribosomal RNA
Source: RNAcentral